CGUCACCGAAUUAUUUUGGAAGAGUGUGUCUUUGAUGCACUUUAUCCUAGCGGAAAUGUUACGCUCCCUUCGGGUGUGUGCAUUUGUGCUUAACAACCAACCCUGGCACAACUUGUGUCAAGCAAAAUGUAGCUUGUGGUUUGUCUCCUUCAUUGUAUUGAGAUAGAUCGUGAGUCUCACAGAAUUACCAUUAAAUGCAUGACUCCCGUCAACGGAUAUCUUGGCCCUUGCAUCGAUGAAGAACGUAGCAAAAUGCGAUACUUGAUGUGAAUUGUAGAAUCCCGUGAACCAUCGAGUCUUUGAAUGCAAGUUGCGCCCGAAGUUGUUAGACGGACGGCAUGCCUGCCUGGGCGUCAUUAAAUGAGUCGCUCAUUAAGUAUGAUCUUCAUGGUUGAUGAAGCGGAUUUUGGCCUUCUGGGAGUUUUCCAGUAGGCUUAAAUGGGCGUGACCUGCUGUGUGGAGAUGCACGAUGGGUGGUGAACAUUUGUGAAUUGCAGUUGAUCCCAUCAUUAGCAAAUAGCACGUCGUGCCUCCCUCAACACCUUCUUUCACGUGCUUACCCUUUGCAUAAGGCAUCUUGUGGAUGCUUUGAUUGAACAGUAGAGAAUCUGAUUGGGACCUCAGGUCAGGCAAGACCACCUGCUGAGUUUAA
This 652-nucleotide ribosomal RNA is filed under the name Ruppia cirrhosa x Ruppia cf. maritima JG-2016. RNAcentral describes it as "eukaryotic LSU rRNA". The stretch from base 201 to 356 matches the Rfam family "5.8S ribosomal RNA". The record is from RNAcentral. RNAcentral also lists the same sequence under 1 other name. Lineage: Eukaryota; Viridiplantae; Streptophyta; Magnoliopsida; Alismatales; Cymodoceaceae.